Long non-coding RNA from Nyctereutes procyonoides (raccoon dog), 2372 nucleotides. RefSeq lists it as uncharacterized. The record is from RefSeq and is a predicted model, not a curated record. NCBI's taxonomy places the organism in Eukaryota, Metazoa, Chordata, Mammalia, Carnivora, Canidae. The transcript is spliced from 3 exons.
CUCCGGAACAAGAUGUAAGACAACCUCAAGGCUGACCUUGUCAUACGCAUGGACCACUUCUGGUCCAGAGAAAUCUGAUCCAAUAAAUUCUUUGUUCAUGAAGAUCUGGGAAAGGGCCUCCUUGUCAUCGGCCUGCAGAGUGGCUGGCUACCCCCAGUUACCUCAUUUAGAUUUCCCGGGAGUGAUUGAGACCUCAGGCCCCUUGGUCCCUAAGACGUGGAUUCAGUUUCAGGUUAGGGGAGGGUGUCUUUAAAGACCUUAUCACUAUUUUUGAGCAAGAGAAAUGUGUCUUCAAUUCCUACAUUUCCCUUGCCUCUCCUCCAAAUCCCCUUCAUUUCCACUCUUAGCCUUUCCAAAUUCUUUUAAGGGUUAGAGAUAGAUCUUCAUCUAAAUAUCCCCAAACUGGUUCUCAUCCACCUACUCUGAAAGUCCUGUUUUUGCUUUCUCAUGGCUCAUCUGUAAGUGGCCUCGAUCCCACAUCUUACGGCCCUGGUCAAAAAUGUGCUGCAGUGGUUCCAUCGAAACAUUCUGUUUCACCUCCAUCCAAACAGAAUGCUGGCAAAAGUAAUGACUAAUCAGUUCAUAGAUGCAUUCGUGUAAAGAGCUAACACACGUCGUACAAGAUGCUCCGCAUAAUUAUAUAAUCUUGGAAAUGUGAUCAGAGCAAUUAGAUAUCAUACUUAUUUAUCACAUUGGUGGGACGUAAAUGAUCGAAAACAGCCAGUAUGAGUGGCAUCUAGGAAUGUGAAGCACUGUUGGUAGGGUGUGCGUCGGUAUAGUCUUCUCUGGAGAGCCCUCCGUCAGUCUCCAUUAGGAGAAGAAAAGUGCACGUUCUUUGAGUGAUCACUUUAUACCUCACUUUGUACCUUGUACCUGCAAAGACGUGAAAAGACAUUCCUCGCAGCAUUACCUAUGAGAAGGAGACCUAGAAACAACCAGCCUAUCAGUGGGCUAUUAUUUAACUAUUAAUAGUUAAAUGAGCAAUUUCCAAAUCCCCCUCGAAGUUAUUAGCAUAAUAAUCGUGGAGGUCAUGUGGGUCACUUCUAGGCUACAUCCUUUUAAAAAGUAGAGGUGUCUCCUCUAGGCUCCUCUACUGGAUGCAGAUGACAGCAAGACCCUGGGAGGUGGCCAGCAACCCGGGGGAAGCACUUGGCUCCUGAAAGGAGGGAAAGCUACCUCUUGGCCUGCAUUACUCUCGUGGGACCCGUAGGCGAAGAAGACAUAAACUUCUGUCCCAAAGCCAUUGUUUUUUUUGGGGGGGAUCUAUUUGUUAAAGUAGCUACUGUUACCCUAAUUAAAAAAAAAAAAGUAACAGUUAACAAGGAAAUCGAUGACUAUGUCCUGAUUGAAUUUUAUUCCUAUUAAAGAACACAUUGCCUAAUACAGGUAUAAAUGCACAGGAAAAGUUCUGGAAGGUAAAAACCAAACUAGUGAUAAUGGAUUCCUCCAAAGAGGGGAGUGGGAUGGAAUAUGGUGGUCACUGGGGACUUCUGCUUCAUGUUACUGAAAUUUUUAUGAGGAGGAUAUUUCUUGAAUUACUUAUGUAAUUAAAAAUCAUAAAAGAAAUUGGAUUGCCUCCCUGGGCAAUUGCUUGGCUUGAAGAACUCCUUUUUGUGUCUGUUCUCAUUUAUGUGAAGGAAAUAGAUAAAAACUUUUCAUCCUGGCCCGUUCACUGAUAUCCCGUAAUCAUGAGAGAUUAUUGGGAAUAAUUCCCAGAUUAGGGUUUUUGGCAGUUAUAAGGAAAUUCAUUGAAAAUUUUUUUAAAAACCCCACAGAACACCCUAAAAGGACUUAGAAGAAAAAUGCUAACAGAUCAACCACGAUAGCAAGAACAACUGUGUGCAAGUCUAGAAAUAUUUCAGUGAGACUGGCGAGGUAGUGCGAGUGAAUUCAUAAAUAGGUCUUUUAAAGAAAACAACACUCAACGGAACCGUCCCCCUUGGUGGUUGCACGAGCGGUCCUGGACAGCACCUUUGAGCCGAGCUACGGUGGCCUGAGGCAUCACUUAGGAUGGCGCGUGACAGCAGUGGGCUGCGAGCGGGCUGCGAGCGAGCGGGAGCGCUGGGCCUCCGGGGAGUUAUCAGGGCGCCUUGUGAGGCGGGUCCCCGCGGGAGCGAGCCGGCCUGCACCCAGCAGGUGGCAGCCGAGAUGUAAUGGGGUCACCAACAGGGAGCCUGUGAGCCGGGAAGGACGCGGCCUAGUGCGGAGGCUCCAGUGCCCGGGACCGCCUGGCGGGAGGUGAACGACCCCAGUCUCCUCCUCCUGGGUUCAGCUCAACGCUGACAUCGUCCCGAUCUCCGUCUGCCCAAGUUCCAUCCACUCCAGGGUCAGCUCGAAAGCUCUCGGUGUCCGUGGCCUUCCCUGAUCCUGGC